This is a long non-coding RNA of Ictalurus punctatus (channel catfish), 677 nucleotides long. Lineage: Eukaryota; Metazoa; Chordata; Actinopteri; Siluriformes; Ictaluridae. The record is from Ensembl.
GUCAGAAGUUCGUAUUAUAACGUUCUAAUCCGCGCGAGACUUGGGAGGUUAAUUGACUUGUUAAUAGUGUGCCAGAAAUACAUGUUUCUGGUCAAUUACACGUAAAGAGCAAAAAUGAUAUAGAUAAAUCUAAGGAAGUAGUAGGAUUUUAUGGAAACGAGUACAGAGGUGGAGGGGGACCAUUAAAAAACAAAACAAAAAAAAACAACAAAUGGCGCAUUAGGCUGGAAGGUGGGCUUGACGAUACGCGCGCGCUUGUGAAAGCAGAGCUGCGUGCCUGUUUCCCUGCAUUCCUAUGAAGUGACAAUUCAAAGGCUCUCAGUGUGCAGACUUUGCUCACAGUGCAGGCUGUGUGCUCUACCAAUCUGUGCUUUCUGGUCAUUUCAGCGAGGCUGAUAUCUCUUCGCUCUCAUUCUGAACAAGCCAUGAGCAACUUUUUAAGACGCGCGAGCUGUCCUCAACGUUAACACGUCCGUGUUUGAGGCCAUCAGAUCUUGAGAGUAGAGGUUGGAGAAGACAAGGCUGAGCAUUGCGCAACCUGGGAGUGCCGCUCCUUAUUUUGGAACUGAAUUCUUCUUUUGCUUCCAACAAAAGUGACUCUUUUGGAACCGAUAUAGUUUUAUUUUUUUAAAAAUCCUGAACUGUGAUUGAGUGCUUUUGUGAUAUGAGGGUUUGUG